Molecule: unclassified non-coding RNA, 283 nt
Filed under: Hevea brasiliensis (rubber tree)
Lineage: Eukaryota; Viridiplantae; Streptophyta; Magnoliopsida; Malpighiales; Euphorbiaceae
Source: RNAcentral
GCUGGAGCUUCCCCUCCAGCAGCGCCAGCAGCUAACAUUGCCAGUGCCAUAGCAGCAGGUGGAGAUGCAAAAGCAGCAGCCCAGCUAGGGGAUAUCAUAGACAGAGCAGCCUCAAGGGGCAAAGCAUCUGCAGCCAAUGAUCGGUCAUCAACAACAAAAGGAUUUAAACCAUCUGCAGUUGCCAGUUCAUGAAUUCCUGCCAAGAGGGGUCGCCACCUCCUUAAGGCUGCAAUAAAAGGUGGUAAAAUAACCUCUAGGUAUUGCUUCCUUAGAGGAGUUCGAU